AUUGAACGCUGGCGGCAUGCCUUACACAUGCAAGUCGAACGGCAGCACAGGGCAACCUGGUGGCGAGUGGCGAACGGGUGAGUAAUGCAUCGGAACGUACCUUUCAGUGGGGGAUAACGUAGCGAAAGUUACGCUAAUACCGCAUAUUCUGUGAGCAGGAAAGCAGGGGAUCGCAAGACCUUGCGCUGAUUGAGCGGCCGAUGUCAGAUUAGCUAGUUGGUGAGGUAAGGGCUCACCAAGGCGACGAUCUGUAGCGGGUCUGAGAGGAUGAUCCGCCACACUGGAACUGAGACACGGUCCAGACUCCUACGGGAGGCAGCAGUGGGGAAUUUUGGACAAUGGGGGCAACCCUGAUCCAGCCAUGCCGCGUGAGUGAAGAAGGCCUUCGGGUUGUAAAGCUCUUUCGGCCGGGAAGAAAUCGCACGGGCUAAUACCCUGUGUGGAUGACGGUACCGGAAUAAGAAGCACCGGCUAACUCCGUGCCAGCAGCCGCCGUAA
Molecule: ribosomal RNA, 498 nt
Filed under: uncultured bacterium
Lineage: Bacteria
Description: partial 16S ribosomal RNA
Rfam family: Bacterial small subunit ribosomal RNA
Source: RNAcentral